UCCUUGUUAGUACAGUGGUGAGUAUCCCGGCCUGUCACAUGGGAGACCUGGGUUUGACUCCCCGAUGGGGAG
Ovis aries (sheep) is the source of this 72-nucleotide transfer RNA. It matches the Rfam family "tRNA". From Rfam's summary of the family: Transfer RNA (tRNA) molecules are approximately 80 nucleotides in length. Their secondary structure includes four short double-helical elements and three loops (D, anti-codon, and T loops). The record is from Rfam. NCBI's taxonomy places the organism in Eukaryota, Metazoa, Chordata, Mammalia, Artiodactyla, Bovidae.